AUUCCUAUGAAUCUCUCUCAACUCUCUUUCUAAACACACAUAUACACAAUGGUGGGAAGGGAUCAGAUUUUCUCCCCCUCUCAAAUUCGCCGGCGAGUUUAGCUUCCGGUAGCCCCUCUUCCUCUCCCUCCUCAUCGUUUCUUCAUCCCCAUCUUUUCACAAGCUUUUCCCGUCUUCUUUUUCACAAAUUUCGGUACCUUUUCCCUGCUGGAUUUGCUGAAGAAGCACUGCAGCGAGAUGCAGCGUUGCUUCCAGACGUUUCUGUGGGUCAGCAUCGGGAUCAUCUUGCUCGGCAGUUUGAAGUUGUUGCUGCUGCUGGUAUCCAGGUUGAUUGAGGUUUCCUCCUGAUGGUUUAUACUCUCCGGAGCUCGAGUGUCCCUGUUGGCUGAGAAGAGACGACGCCGGCUGAGCAAGUUCCGGUGGGAGACCUGCAACAGGCGAUGGU
Molecule: long non-coding RNA, 445 nt
Organism: Salvia splendens (bonfire salvia)
Lineage: Eukaryota; Viridiplantae; Streptophyta; Magnoliopsida; Lamiales; Lamiaceae
Exons: 3
Source: RefSeq, a predicted model, not a curated record